GGGGGUUUAGUUUAACGGCAAAAUAGCGGUCUCCAAAACCGUUGAUGGGGGUUCAAUUCCCUCAACCCCCGCAA
RNAcentral lists this transfer RNA (74 nucleotides) under bacterium. RNAcentral describes it as "tRNA-Trp". It matches the Rfam family "tRNA". Rfam says of the family: Transfer RNA (tRNA) molecules are approximately 80 nucleotides in length. The record is from RNAcentral.